CUUCAUUAUUUAGAUAUUUUGAUAUAAAACAUAUAAUAAUUAAAAGAUGUGGUAUGAUUAACAAUGAAACAACUUCCAACCAAAAAGAAACAAUUGACGAGGAUUAAACCAACAUACCUUACAUAAACCCUUUAAUGUCAAUAUAUUUCUAUUAUAAUUUAUUCCUAUAUAUACAGAAGUCCAUAGAUAUAGGAAGAUGUGGUACAUGAGUGCUAAUGAGACAAUUCUCCAUCCAAGUAACAAUUUAUAAAGUAAACCAUAUAGGUCAAGGCACUGUCUUCAACACGGAGUCUUGCCUCACACCGAACAGCAAGCUAUAAAGGGCAGAAAAAAAAUUGUUAAACUAUUCAAACGGGAAAACCAACGGUCUAAUCUAUAUAAAAACGAGAAACGAGAAACACGUAUGAACUACAUUAACAGACGACAACUACUGUACAUCAGAUUCCUGACUUAAGACAGGUGCAAACAUUUGCAGCAGGAUUAAACGUUUUAAUAAUACUAAACUUUCCCUCUUUUCUGAAACAAUAGUAUAACAUCACAACAAAGAAAGACACACUAUAAAAUAUCAAUUGGAAAGUUUAACUCAUUCUUAGUAGUUAGCAAAUAUUUCUGUUCGAUAACAGUAUUCAUAUACACAAUAACAAUAAAAAUCUAUUAAAUAUAUGUACACGAAUAGCACAUUGAUAAAGUUUGUCUUCAUUAUUUACAACUUUUGAUAUAAAACAUAUCAUACUUAAAAGAUGUGGUAUGAUUGAUAAUGAAACAGGUCCCCACCAAAUAGAAAAAACGGCAAGGAUUAAACCAAUAUAUCUUACAUACACCCUUUAAUGUCAAUAUAUAAACCUUUUAUAAUUUAUUCCUAUAUAUACAAAAAAUAUCACAAUAUUUUGUAUGCAUGCAUGAACUUCUCUGUUACCUCUUGCAUGGUUUUAUGCGAAUACACUAUUUAUCUAGUAAACAAUGCGAAAUAACACAAUUAUCUAAGAUAUUAAACUGUACAAACAUGUGAAUUAUUUACAAUUGUACACGAUGGAGCUUUUUUUGCGUUGUCUCUGUAAGGGCAAUAAGAAAGUUCUGUUUCACAGAAGCAUCUAUUACCAAAUCACACCACUAUAUCAUUGCCAAUACCCA
RNAcentral lists this long non-coding RNA (1131 nucleotides) under Mytilus galloprovincialis (Mediterranean mussel). Lineage: Eukaryota; Metazoa; Mollusca; Bivalvia; Mytilida; Mytilidae. The record is from RNAcentral.